GAGGGGCUUACAAAGGGGCUCAGAUACCUGCAAUGUUCCAAAAAAAUCAGUAUUAGCAGCCAGGUCAGUUCACAUGACCCAGCAUUAAAAACACAGCAGAACCAGUGUUUCUCUUCUAGGACUUAGCCCACACACUCAGCUUCAAAAUGGAAAAGCACGCUGUUUGCUAUUGAGGGUCAGAUGCUGAGCACUAAACCCACAUACACUGCAGCUUGCGUGCAUAAGUGCUAAGUCACUUCAGUUGUGUCCAACUGUGCAACCCCAUGUACUGUAGCCUGCCAGACAACUCUGCCCACGGGGAUUCUCCAGGCAAGAAUACUGGUGAAAGUGUAUUGUUGGAUCCACAGCACUAGUUAGAGAUGCCAGAUCCACAGGGCCGGGAAACAGGGUGAAGCAAGCAAGUCACCCGGGGCACAUUUAAGGAGGUCCUCACCACCAGGGCCUCCUUGUCUCAUCCUUGUCCCAGCUCCAAGGCCCACCCUGACCUCCUGAAUUUUAACAAGACCUUCAAGUGAUAUGUGUACACAGCAAAGUCUGAGAAGCUCUGGCCUAAGACACAUGGCAUGGAUUUGGCGGAGAGGACAUUAAACACUGAGGAAUUGUGAACACAAAUACCAUAAAACCUGCUUGCCAGUGUAUGGGUUGACUAGUUUUCCCCCCAAACUUCAUGUUUACCCAGAACCAGUGAAUGUAACCUUAAUUGGAAAUAAAGCCUUUGAAGAUGUAAUCAGGUUAGGAUGAGGUGUACUAAAUUAGGGUGGCCCCUAGAUCCAGUAUGACUGGGGGCUUUAUAAGAAGAGAAGAGACAGGCAGAGACAGGAGAAAGAAGGCCCUGUGAUGACUGAGGCAGAGACUAGAGUGGUGUAGCUGCAAGCCAGGACUCCCCAGGUGGCACUAGUGGUAAAGAAGCCACUUGCCAGUGUAGGAGACGGAAGAGACGCAGGUUUGAUCCCUGGGUUGGGAAUGACAACCCACUUCAAUAUUCUUCCCUGGAGACUCCCAUGGACAGAGGAGCCUGGCAGUCCAUAGGGUCGCAUAGAGUUGGACGUGACUGAAGCAACUUACCACGCACGCACACGUGCAACUGCAGGUCAAGGACUGCUGGCAACCACAAGAGCAAGAACACACUAUUCCCAAGACCCUUCAGAGAGAUCACGGUCCAGCUGACAUCUUAAUUUUAGACGUUUAGAUUCCAGAACUGCAAAAGAACAAAUUUCUAUUUGAAGCCACCUGGCCUAAGGUAAAAUUUUAUGGCAGUUCUAGGAAAAUAAUGCAGCCAGAAUUUUCACAUCUUUAAAAAUGGGGGUGCUGCUUUCCCCACCGAAUCACUGGGUUACUGGAAAGAAUAUAUGACAGAAUGACUGCAAAGAUGUUUCAAAAACUAUAAAACACAGAGAUUUCCCUGGUAGUACAGUGGCUAAGAUUCUGUACUCCCAACUCAGAAGGCCGGAGUUCAAUCCCUGGUCAGGGAACUAGAUCCCACAUGUGGCAACUAAAGAUCCCACAGGCCACAACUAAGAUCUGGUGCAGCCAAAGAAAUAAAUGUUAAUGAAAAAACUAUCAAAUGCAAUUCAAAGAUGAAACGUUAUUUUUUUUCAUAUUUUUAAAUCUUUAUUUUUAGGUCAUGCUGUGUGGCAUAUGGGAUCUUAGUUCCCCAACCAGGGAUUGAACCCUCAGCCCCUGCCUUGGGAACACAGAGACUUAACCACUGGACCACGAGGGAAGUUCCAACAUUAUUAUUUUUAAUGAGAACAUUCAGUUAUAAAAUAUUUAUAUGCUUAUUUUCAAAGAAGUUUGUGUAAUAAUUUGGAUACUUCCCCCCUCCCAGGUGUUGGUAGUACAUACCUCUUGGCCCAUUGUGUGGAUUUGGCCACUUGACUUCCUUUGAACAAUCGGAUGUUAGUGAUUGAUGUGAGCAGAGGCCCUCAUGCGCUUGUACAGUUUGACUGCCCUUUUGCACUCCUGUCAUCCACUGUGAGAACAGGUUCCCCAGAUAAUCACCUGGGCCACACAAUGGAACAUAAUGCUUCAUCUUUUAAGACAUUUUCUUUUUUUUCCUUUUUUUCCCCCCUAUCUUCACCUAUUUCUUCCAUUCUCCACUCCCCACCUCUGGAAACCACCAAUUUGUUCUGUUUCUAGGGGUUCAGUUUUUCUAGAUUCCACAUAUAAAUAUGAUUAUACAGUAUUUAUUAAAAUCUUUUUCUGUCUGACUUAUCUCACUUGCCAUAAAACCAUCCAGGUCCAUCCAUGUUGUUACAGAUAGCAGCAUUUCCUUCUUUUAUGACUAAUAUUCCACUGUGUAGAUCUAUCCAUUCAUCUGUCAGUGGACACUUGAAUUGUUUCCACAUCUUACCUAUUGUGAAUGAUGCUACAGUGAACAUGAAGGUACACUUACCUCUUCUAGAUAGUGGUUUUCAUUUCCUUCAGAUAAAUACCCACAAGUGGAAUUGCUUGAUCAUGUGGUAAUUCUAUUUAUACUAUUUAUCAUUUUUUUUUAGGAACCUCCAUACUAUUUUCCACAGUGGCAGCACCAGUUUAUAUUCCUAUUUUAAGAUGUUUCCCUGUUUGCUUUUCUGAUCCUAUUUACAAAAUUCUCUUACAGAGUCUGAAUUUGAUCAUUUUUUUUACCAUAAUCAAAAGCUAAAAGCAACAGCCUGGUCAAAAAGGAAAUCGGAAAAACAACUGUAGAGGAAGAUCAAGCCUUGAUCUAAGAGUAUCUGUCUCCUCAGCUGAAAAGCAAGGGUUUAAGACUGGGUGGUUUCUUGUAGCCCCUUAUAUCCCAGGUUUCAGUGAUUAUUGUCCAUUCCUCCACCUCCUCAGUCAGGUCAGGGUGCAUCCCCCACUCCAUUGUAACACUCCAGGCCUUUCUACCAUAUCUUUGCCUUUCUCUCAAAACUCUGUCAUCAUUCUGCCAACACAACCUCAUUAUCUGUGUCAGGACCUAUUGUCAUAUAACUCAAAUUUCAGGGUAGGAUGACAAGCUGCUGUGGCAGUCAAAUAUGCCCCAGGGGCCAAAGGAAUACUGAGAGGUUAAAUGGUUCAGCCACCUUAGAGCCAGUGAAGUCAGCUUCUGCCUCCCCAAAGAGCAGUCUCAACAGUAACAUUGCUAACGAUCCAUGGCUAAAAGAACUAGGAAGCUAACACGUAUUAGGGGCUAUCACUUGUGCUUCCCACAAGGUCAUUCCAUUCAUCCUCUGGCUGAGAUAGGUAUUAUCAGCCCCUGAUAGGUAUUAUCAGAUUUGGAAAAGUACAGGGAGACCUGGUAAAUUUUUAAUAACUCCAUGGGCAGGAGGGAGCCCCAAUUUGCCAGUUUCCCUGGUUUAAAGAUGCCUACCACAGCCAACAUGACCCAAGAUGACAUCAGAGUUGGGAAGAGAUUCAAACACCUGGCUCUCUGACAGGGCUGAGAAGACUCCAGCACUCACCAUAACUGUGUACAGAGAGGUCAAGCAACUAAUCAAGGUCACCAGCUAAAAUGUGGAAAGUGAGGAUGUGAACCCAGACCUCUGACUUGAGUACAGCUCUUGAUAUUCCCACGUGAACGGCAAGUCCUUGUGAGCAGAGAGCCCUAGACUGUCUUUAUACGUAAUAAUAUACCCCUGAGGUGAUUUUUCCCAGAACAUAUUAGGUCAGACCUACAAAACUCCAUAGACAUUUUUUCCUCCCAAUUAUAUCACAUCAGAUUUCCAACAACAAAAUGAAGAAAAUUUCUUUCUAAAAUCUUAGACCUAACUGCUGACCUACUUGUUCAAUAUGACAUUUGACUGCAAAUGGGACAGAGGCGGAAUUUAGGAGGGGAAAGAAUUGUGCCUUCUUCCAAAUAGCGCAAACACCCAACAGUGACCAGAGACAACCCUACCCACUCCCACUCCCACCCCUAUACAGGGUUGGCCCAGCUCCUGCCAUUGCAUGUAAAUGAUUGUUGCCAAUUCCACCAGGGAGAGGUGACCCUUCCUCAGGGACUGAGCGCCACUUUCAGAGGCUGAGUGAAAUGUUUUUAUUCUAACCUUUGCCUCCCUUUACAGAUGGUUCUUUGAAACCAGUAGACAUCAGGAGAACAAAUGGGCAGUCAAACACUCUGCAAGAAGCUGUUGAAUAAUCAACUGUUUAUAACCCAGCUGAGUCCACUCUAGGAUGUUGUUGUUGUUAUUUAGUCACCAAGUCAUCUCUGACUUUGCAACUCCAUGGACUGUAGCCCACCAGGCUCCUCUGUUCAUGGGAUUUCACAGGCAAAAAUACUGGAGGGGAUUGUCAUUUCCUUCUCCAGGGGAUCUUCCUGAUCCAAGGAUCAAACCUGUGUCUCCUACAUUGGCAGGCAGAUUCUUUACCACUGAGUCACUGGGAAACAAUACUCCAGGAUAAGGGGCUGUAAAUGCAAGUACGUUCAGGGGCAGACAAUGUGCAUGGUCACAGCCAUACAUGUGAAACCACAGGGCUUCAUGAAGCUCACCCAUGCACAUAUCUUUAAAAUACGUGAAUAUGUGUCCCAUGUAUCUGAGAACAUGAUGCAGCCACUGGGCCGAGAGUUUUCAAGCCUUGCUAGGGUUCAGUCAAUAAUAAUUCAACCAAUGUAGUUAAAUUACACACACACACAAUUUUUACAUAUUUCAGUUAGAAUUGUUAAGCUACAAGUGACAGAAAACCCAAAAUAAUAGUGACUCAUAAACAAGCAAGAAGUUUUUUCUCUUCCACCUAAAACUCUCAAAGCAAGCCCAGACCAAAAAGGCAUUAUGUAUGUACAUGUCAGAGACCCACAUCCUUUUAACCUUUUCCUCUGCCAUCUCAUGGUGUGACUUUGGUGUCAUCUCUUUGGUGGCUGCUUUAGCUUCAGGCAUUAUGUCAUACAGCUUCAAUUAGCUACCAGGGAGAUUGAAAUAUUUGGUCUUUAUUCAAAGUAACCAUGAACUCAAUUCAAAAUCAGCAUUCUGGGACUUCCCUAAUGGUCCAGUGGCCAAGAGUUUGCAUUGCCAAUACAGGGAGCCAGGGCAUGAUCCCUGGUCAGGAAACUAGAUCCCACCUGCCACAACUAAGAGUUCACAUGUGCAACUAACAAGGCCUCGCGUACCAUAACUAAGACCCAGUGCAACCAAAUAAAGAAAGAAAUGUUUUUAAAAUAGGGUUGUAAAACUAACUUUGCUAGUUGGGGGGAUGGAAACCCAGUUGAUUAAUAAAUAUAAAGAAUACUGGAGGCAGAGAAGGCAUAGAUAAUAAUCAGUGGACACAGACAACGAGUUUGGUUUGGGUGAUCUAAUAUCUCAAUCACUCCUGGUACGAUGUAAUUCUAUGAAGUACAUGCGGAUCUUUGCAAUGGUGCAUUGUCAAAACUCCCCUUUGGAAAUUCUUAGCAAAGCCUCAUUCACCUUAUUUGGGAUAUCCUGACUGGAUGAAUCUUCAUUGUUUUCAUGGGAAUUCAGCUUUUGGAAAUAUCUAAAACUAAAUAAGGUGAGUUAUGAGAUUUUGAUAAAAUAUUUUUGUGAAUGCGCUAGUAAAUAAAAGUAAUUCUAUUGAUUGUUUUCUGUGCAUAUCAUAGUCCUUCUAAAAGCAAUUCCACAACAAGAAAUACAAAUGUUUUCAACUAUGAAAGCAUCAUUUACAAAAGGACACCACCUACCAAGUAACCUCACUCAAGACAAACUCUUGCCAGAUUUUUUUUUUUAAUUACACUCAGGAGUUGGUGAUCCAAACAUCCUCUUAAAUAAAACAGUUUCCUACAGGUACUAUAACAAAUUGCCACAACCUCAGUGAUUUAAGAAGGCAAUAGCAACCCGAUCCAGUACUCUUGCCUGGAGAAUCCCAUGGAUGGAGGAGCCUGGAAGGCUGUAGUCCAUGGGGUCGCUGAGGGUUGGACACGACUGAAGUGACUUAGCAGCACUGAUUUGAAACAGCACAUGUAAUAUUCAGCUAUAAAAAGGAAUGAAUUUUUUUUAAAAAAGGAAUGAAAUUUUGAUAUAUGUUACAACAUGAUGGACCUUGAAGACAUUAUGCUUUAGUGAAAUAAGCCAGAAUACAAGGACAAAUAUUGUAUGAUUCCACUUACCGGAAGUAUCUAGAAUAGACAAAUACAGAGACAAAAAGUAGAAUAGAGGUUACCAGGAGUAGGGGAGAGGGGGGGAAUGAGGAGUUAUUAUUUAAUGGGUUCAGAGUUUUUAUUGAGAUGAUGAAGGUUUUUAAGCCAAAGAUAGUGGUGAUGUUAUACAACACUGUGAAUGUAUUUAAUGCUACUGGUUUGUAAACUUAAUGAAUAGUUAAAUUGAUAAAUUUUAAAUUAUGUAAAAUUUGCCACAAUAAAAAAAAUAACAUACAUGUAUUCUCUCAGAAUUCUUGAGGUGAGAAUACUGAAGUCAGAUUCACUGAGCCAAAAUCAAAGUGUCAGC
This is a long non-coding RNA of Bos taurus (domestic cattle), 6374 nucleotides long. The record is from Ensembl. Lineage: Eukaryota; Metazoa; Chordata; Mammalia; Artiodactyla; Bovidae.